GAUGAACGCUGGCGGCGUGCUUAACACAUGCAAGUCGAACGGUGAAGGCGGAGCUUGCUCUGCUGGAUCAGUGGCGAACGGGUGAGUAACACGUGAGCAAUCUGCCCCUGACUCUGGGAUAAGCGCUGGAAACGGCGUCUAAUACUGGAUACGAGCUGCGAAGGCAUCUUCAGCAGCUGGAAAGAACUUCGGUCAGGGAUGAGCUCGCGGCCUAUCAGCUUGUUGGUGAGGUAACGGCUCGCCAAGGCGUCGACGGGUAGCCGGCCUGAGAGGGUGACCGGCCACACUGGGACUGAGACACGGCCCAGACUCCUACGGGAGGCAGCAGUGGGGAAUAUUGCACAAUGGGCGAAAGCCUGAUGCAGCAACGCCGCGUGAGGGACGACGGCCUUCGGGUUGUAAACCUCUUUUAGCAGGGAAGAAGCGAAAGUGACGGUACCUGCAGAAAAAGCGCCGGCUAACUACGUG
This 468-nucleotide ribosomal RNA is filed under the name uncultured bacterium. Its description in RNAcentral is "partial 16S ribosomal RNA". It matches the Rfam family "Bacterial small subunit ribosomal RNA", at positions 28 to 507 of the family's 1533-position model. The record is from RNAcentral.